RNAcentral lists this ribosomal RNA (570 nucleotides) under Moesziomyces aphidis. RNAcentral describes it as "eukaryotic LSU rRNA". It matches the Rfam family "Eukaryotic large subunit ribosomal RNA", at positions 89 to 640 of the family's 3401-position model. Lineage: Eukaryota; Fungi; Basidiomycota; Ustilaginomycetes; Ustilaginales; Ustilaginaceae. The record is from RNAcentral.
GCGAGUGAAGAGGGAAGAGCCCAAGAUUGAAAGCUGGCGUCUUCGGCGUCCGCAUUGUAAUCUCAAGAAGUGUUUUCCGCUUCGGACCAAGCCUAAGUCCCCUGGAAAGGGGCAUCAUAGAGGGUGAUAAUCCCGUACAUGGCUUGGAGCGCCCGAGGCUUUGUGAUACGCUUUCUAAGAGUCGAGUUGUUUGGGAAUGCAGCUCAAAAUGGGUGGUAAAUGCCAUCUAAGGCUAAAUAUUGGGGAGAGACCGAUAGCGAACAAGUACAGUGAUGGAAAGAUGAAAAGAACUUUGAAAAGAGAGUUAAACAGUACGUGAAAUUGCCAAAAGGGAAGGGUAGGAGGUCAGAGAUGCGGCCUGGGAUUCAGCCUUGCUUUUGCUUGGUGUUUUUCCCAGAUUGCAGGCCAACGUCGGUUUUGGGCACUGGAGAAGGGUAGGAGGAACGUGGCACCCCUCGGGGUGUGUUAUAGCCUCCUACUGGAUACAGCGACCGAGACCGAGGACAGCAGCGUACUCGCAAGAGCGGGCCUUCGGGCACCUUUACGCUUAGGGCGUUGGCAUAAUGGCCC